GUGCUUGCUUCAGCAGUACAUAUACUAAAAUUGGAACAAUAUAGAGAAGAUUAGCAUCUAUAGCCUCCCACCAUCUACCCCCACAUCUUUCCAAAGCUGUGGAAUUGGUGCAGUCACCACCUGUGAAAAGUAUAAGCUCCAAGCAGAGGUUGGUGAUGCCAAGAGAAGUUUCCCCUGUGCAAAGAUGACAUGCAAAUGUGUGAAGUGUUCCAUAUUUUU
This 219-nucleotide small nuclear RNA is filed under the name Myotis davidii. The record is from RNAcentral. Lineage: Eukaryota; Metazoa; Chordata; Mammalia; Chiroptera; Vespertilionidae.